Molecule: ribosomal RNA, 449 nt
Filed under: Escherichia coli
Lineage: Bacteria; Pseudomonadati; Pseudomonadota; Gammaproteobacteria; Enterobacterales; Enterobacteriaceae
Description: partial 23S ribosomal RNA
Rfam family: Bacterial large subunit ribosomal RNA
Source: RNAcentral
GGUUAAGCGACUAAGCGUACACGGUGGAUGCCCUGGCAGUCAGAGGCGAUGAAGGACGUGCUAAUCUGCGAUAAGCGUCGGUAAGGUGAUAUGAACCGUUAUAACCGGCGAUUUCCGAAUGGGGAAACCCAGUGUGAUUCGUCACACUAUCAUUAACUGAAUCCAUAGGUUAAUGAGGCGAACCGGGGGAACUGAAACAUCUAAGUACCCCGAGGAAAAGAAAUCAACCGAGAUUCCCCCAGUAGCGGCGAGCGAACGGGGAGGAGCCCAGAGCCUGAAUCAGUGUGUGUGUUAGUGGAAGCGUCUGGAAAGGCGCGCGAUACAGGGUGACAGCCCCGUACACAAAAAUGCACAUACUGUGAGCUCGAUGAGUAGGGCGGGACACGUGGUAUCCUGUCUGAAUAUGGGGGGACCAUCCUCCAAGGCUAAAUACUCCUGACUGACCGAUA